AAAUGCGAUAAGUAAUGUGAAUUGCAGAAUUCAGUGAAUCAUCGAAUCUUUGAACGCACCUUGCGCCCUUUGGUAUUCCGAAGGGCAUGCUUGUUUGAGUGUCAUUAUAUUCUCAAACCUUGAUAGCUUUGCGGCUACUCGAGGCUUUGGAUGUGAGGGCUUGCUGGCUUCCUUAAGUGGCGGUCUGCUCCCUUUAAAUGCAUUAGUGGGAUCCUUUGUGGAUCGGUCACUUGGUGUGAUAAUCUAUCUACGCCGCCUGGCUGAGAAGCAUAUAAUUGGGAACCUGCUCAUAACCGUCUGCUUGCAGACAACCUUCUUAAUGUUUGACCUCAAAUCAAGUAGGACUACCCGCUGAACUUAA
RNAcentral lists this ribosomal RNA (361 nucleotides) under Mycena pura. Its description in RNAcentral is "eukaryotic LSU rRNA". The stretch from base 1 to 104 matches the Rfam family "5.8S ribosomal RNA", at positions 51 to 154 of the family's 154-position model. Lineage: Eukaryota; Fungi; Basidiomycota; Agaricomycetes; Agaricales; Mycenaceae. The record is from RNAcentral.